Molecule: ribosomal RNA, 254 nt
Filed under: uncultured bacterium
Lineage: Bacteria
Description: partial 16S ribosomal RNA
Rfam family: Bacterial small subunit ribosomal RNA
Source: RNAcentral
GACGAACCGUGCGAACGUUAUUCGGAAUCACUGGGCUUAAAGCGCGUGUAGGCGGGUCGGCACGUCGAGUGUUGAAAGCCCCCGGCUCAACCGGGGAAGUGGCCUCGAUACGACCGACCUGGAGGGGGGUAGGGGGAGCCGGAACUUCCGGUGGAGCGGUGAAAUGCGUUGAGAUCGGAAGGAACGCCCGUGGCGAAAGUGGGCUCCUGGACCCCGCCUGACGCUGAGACGCGAAAGCCAGGGGAGCGAACGGG